GUGAGGGAUAUUGCGCAAUGGGGGAAACCCUGACGCAGCGACGCCGCGUGGGUGAAGAAGGUCUUCGGAUCGUAAAGCCCUUUUGCCACUGACGAGAGAGGACGGUAGGUGGCGAAUAAGCCUCGGCUAACUACGUGCCAGCAGCCGCGGUAAAACGUAGGAGGCGAGCGUUAUCCGGAGUUACUGGGCGUAAAGAGCGCGCAGGCGGCUGGGUAAGUGGCUUGUGAAAGCCCCUGGCUAAACCGGGGGAGGACAGGUCAGACUGCCGAGCUAGAGGAUGGUAGAGGAGCGCAGAAUUCCGGGUGUAGCGGUGAAAUGUGUAGAGAUCCGGAGGAAUACCAGUGGUGAAGACGGCGCUCUGGGCCAUUACUGACGCUGAGGCGCGAAAGCGUGGGGAGCGAACGGGAUUAGAAACCCCAGUAGUCC
Molecule: ribosomal RNA, 426 nt
Filed under: uncultured bacterium
Lineage: Bacteria
Description: bacterial SSU rRNA
Rfam family: Bacterial small subunit ribosomal RNA
Source: RNAcentral